Molecule: transfer RNA, 64 nt
Filed under: Cacoplistes rogenhoferi
Lineage: Eukaryota; Metazoa; Arthropoda; Insecta; Orthoptera; Phalangopsidae
Description: tRNA-Pro
Source: RNAcentral
CAGGAGAUAGUUUAAAUAAAAUUUUAAUUUUGGGGAUUAAUAAUAAGCGUGAGCUUUCUCUUGA